RNAcentral lists this transfer RNA (72 nucleotides) under Camelus bactrianus (Bactrian camel). It matches the Rfam family "tRNA". Rfam says of the family: Transfer RNA (tRNA) molecules are approximately 80 nucleotides in length. Their secondary structure includes four short double-helical elements and three loops (D, anti-codon, and T loops). Further hydrogen bonds mediate the characteristic L-shaped molecular structure. tRNAs have two regions of fundamental functional importance: the anti-codon, which is responsible for specific mRNA codon recognition, and the 3' end, to which the tRNAs corresponding amino acid is attached (by aminoacyl-tRNA synthetases). tRNAs cope with the degeneracy of the genetic code in two manners: having more than one tRNA (with a specific anti-codon) for a particular amino acid; and 'wobble' base-pairing, i.e. permitting non-standard base-pairing at the 3rd anti-codon position. The record is from Rfam by way of RNAcentral. RNAcentral also lists the same sequence under 2 other names. Lineage: Eukaryota; Metazoa; Chordata; Mammalia; Artiodactyla; Camelidae.
GAGGGCAUAGCUCAGUGGUAGAGUGUAUGCUUAGCAUGCAUGAGGUCCUGGGUCCAAUCCCCAGUACCUCCA